This 331-nucleotide unclassified non-coding RNA is filed under the name Mortierella sp. RNAcentral's name for it is "partial contains 5.8S ribosomal RNA, internal transcribed spacer 2, and large subunit ribosomal RNA". The stretch from base 1 to 52 matches the Rfam family "5.8S ribosomal RNA", at positions 103 to 154 of the family's 154-position model. The record is from RNAcentral. Lineage: Eukaryota; Fungi; Mortierellomycota; Mortierellomycetes; Mortierellales; Mortierellaceae.
AACGCACCUUGCGCUCCUCGGUGUUCCGAGGAGCAUGCCUGUUUGAGCGUCAGUAAAUUCUUAACCCCUCUCGAUUAGCUUCGAAAGGGCGCUUGGAUAGUGGGGGCUGCCGGAGAUCUGGACUUUUCGUCUGGGACUCGGGCUCUCCUGAAAUGAAUGGGCUUGCGGUCGGCUUUCGACUAUGCAUGACAAGGCUUUUGGCGUGAUAAUGAUCGCCGCUCGCCGAAGUGCAUGAAUGAACGGUCCCGUGCCUCUAAUGCGUCGAUGCCUUCUGGCGUCUUCCUUAUUGACUUUUGACCUCAAAUCAGGUAGGACUACCCGCUGAACUUAA